This 841-nucleotide unclassified non-coding RNA is filed under the name Bactrocera tryoni. RNAcentral describes it as "uncharacterized LOC120776675, transcript variant X2". Lineage: Eukaryota; Metazoa; Arthropoda; Insecta; Diptera; Tephritidae. The record is from RNAcentral.
UUAUUACGUGCAAAAAAUGGUGUCACGAAAGUCAUAGUGCGUGAAAAUCCUCGAAAGUAUGAGUUUUUGUGCAAAUUCAUUAAGUGCGUUGUCGGGUUUGUUCGUGGGUGUAUAUACAUAUGUACAUAUGCGUGUAGAUAUAAAUGUAACAAGCUUAAUGCGUUUUGCGGUUGGCUUACGUCGCGAGUGUCGGAUAUUAAUUGCUACAGUGUUGUGAAAAAAAAUAACGCGUGGUGUAAUAUUGUCAAAGCAAUUAUGUAAAGGCUUGCGACAUCUUCUACUGCUGCCACGCCCACUAUGUGUUUCACCAAACAACUUUAUGGACUUGCCAAGUGUGCUUUGGACUGCGUUAUUUGUGCGCGGUAAUAAAAUUUAUGCGACGCUGAGCACGCGCGGGCGCUAAACGCUACAAAUAAAUGCCGCCUAACCGACAACAACAACGAGUUGCAAGCAAACAAUAUGUGCAAAGCUGAGCUUAAAGCAAACAAAUUUCGGCUAUUGUUUUCAAUUCCUGGAUGGUACAUUAAUAGUCACGUAUGGAACGUGACCAUCACAGUGAUAAGAGACUGCAAGGCAUAUAAACGAUUUUGUCAAGCACGGUGUGGGGACACAGUUUUGUACCAGCAGACAAGAACUACAAACUGGACAAGAGAUUUUCAAUUCCAAAAACAACCACGAAAUUUGAAAAGAACUUCAUGAAAAGCGAGAGAUUUUAACUUUAGACAAAAACACAGCAAUUUUGGACCAAGAGUAACGAUUUUUUAGCGAGAACAUAAAGAAAUAACAAUUAGAGUAUAAAGUCAAAUAAAAUAAAAAUAUAAACACAAAAAUCAUAAAACAA